CCAGGCAAGACUUGUCUCUAAAGACAAAACAGUAAGAAAACCCCUCUCUCGGACUGAGUGCUGUUCAGAGCAAAUGGAGAAGGAAGGAAGCUGGCGGGAUCACUUCACAUCCCUGUUCAAUGUGGCUCUGGAAUGUGACCUGCCCACCUGUGAAGACUGGCUCAUUCCUCACUCAUACUUCAGACGGGGUGGGGCCACAGCUCAGCAGCAAGGUGAUGAUAGACCAGCAAUUAUUAGGUCCUAGGUUCAACCAUGGCAUCGGCA
Molecule: long non-coding RNA, 264 nt
Organism: Meriones unguiculatus (Mongolian gerbil)
Lineage: Eukaryota; Metazoa; Chordata; Mammalia; Rodentia; Muridae
Exons: 3
Source: RefSeq, a predicted model, not a curated record